UGCUGUCUCCGCAUCUCGGCCCCAAAUUCCGCUUCGAAACUCCGCGCGAGGACGACUCCGAAACCAGGGAAACAUUUACGGUGAUUCAUUUCUGCGUUCGCAAUCUUCGAAAUCGGGCGAUAUACAUUGAUCGAGAUGCGUGCCUUGGUUGUGAUCAGCAUUGUCUGCCUUUUCGCAGUGUUGUCGCUGGUGGAGGAGGCCAGCGGAAGUGCGCAGAGCUAUUCCGGAUACGUGCCGCACCCGUACGCGUACGUGCACGCCGUCGAUCCUAGCAAAUUCGUUUAUCUGUUCGGCGAGGGCCAUCGCCUGACGUAUCAGCACAGAAGGCGAUCGCACCCACGCAGCAGACCUUUUACCAGGAGAAGGAAAAUCGACGUGUCGACUAGGAAUUUUAUUCGUCCGGCACGGAGAGAGCAGUUCCUUGGUCCAGUAUUUCACGAUGACUACUUCAACGAUAUAGUAUAACUUAUUUCACCCAGCGCAAGGAUUUCUGUAGCUUGACUUCAAUACGGUAAUAUCAAGAACCUAGAUAUGAUUUUCAAAGGAAUAUCUGGAAUAGAAGUGAUAAGUAGAAACAAAUUUACGAUGUAGAAAUAGGGCAAUUUUUUUACGUACUACCUUGAGGGCAAACCAGUGCAGUUGUCUAACACGUAUUUGACUAGUACCAACUACCUCAUCCGCUAACGAUACCUCUAACGAUGAUUUUAGCAAGCCCUCGUUGGCGGUCUUUGCCUGCGCAUAAUUAAACGUUAAUGAUGAGUACUGCAGUCAUGCAGUCUCACAUAGGGAGACAGCUCGACGCCAGUGUAGUCUAUAUUAUAUUCGUGCUCGUAUUCUGACGACAUGUGACUGUGUAACCGCUAUCAAAUUGUCGCUUAAAUUUAAUUCGAGUUUUUUUCGGGUAAACCUCGGUAGUACAGAGUAUAAUGUAGCCGCGUGUGUGUGUGUGCGUAUGUGUGCGUGCCAGCAAGGUGUUUACCUGAGGCAUGCUAUACGUUCAAGGCUUCUGCGUCUUGUAGCUGGUGAAAUUAGUUAACACCGUAUUCGUAAUGAAAUCGUGCAUCGUAAUUGAAGCGUGCGGUGCUGGCUGGGCAGACGAGCAAUUCAUCCCCCCUUUCUCCAAACCUAAAGUGCUAUUAGUAGUGUAAUGGCGGACGUGAAAUCAGAUUGACAUUCACUAGCAUGCCCUGAUUCAUAACAAGAGGACAGCGUUGCGUGCGAGUAAUAGUUGUGUGUAACCCGUCUGGGGAUCUGACUAGAGAUCGGCGCGGAUCGUAUAGUAAGUGUGUCUUCCCAAUUAUGCUCACAUAAAAACAGUAUUGUGUAACGAGUCGCGUUAAAUGCUUGUAAAUAAGAAAUAUACUUUAGCUUGUUCGUGUGCGUGCGUGCGCGUGAGUGAGUGUUUGUUUGUGUGUGUGUGUGUGUGGGUGUGUGGGUGUGUGGGUGAGUCUAAGUAGACAUAAAUAGUAUUUAGUUUGUUUCUUAGCCAGUUGUCUCUUCUUUAUGUAAAGCUCAAUAAAAAUGACGUCGAAUGGUUUAUUCAGACGGUUUUCUAUAGAUCAUA
This 1564-nucleotide long non-coding RNA is filed under the name Priapulus caudatus. Its description in RNAcentral is "uncharacterized LOC106810780, transcript variant X1". The record is from RNAcentral. Lineage: Eukaryota; Metazoa; Priapulida; Priapulimorpha; Priapulimorphida; Priapulidae.